GUUCCACUAAGUGUAGAAUUCGGUAUUCCACUGUUUAGUCCAAAAUUGUGCAAUCAUAUAUGUAAGAGAUUAGUUUCCUCACAACUACUCCAAACAGAUUUAUUUGGAGAGCACCAUGAUGCAAUGCAAGAGUUAAGAAAGAAAUUGCGAGAUGUUUGUGCCGAGUAUCAGGCCACAGGUCCAACAGCGAAGUUCCUUUACCAGAAAGAACAGCCAAAGGAAUCACCCCGGCAUUUUAUGAACUAUGCGAGUGGAAGGUGGAACCCCAAUGUUGAUCCUUCUUCUCCUAUUUCUGGUGUCUCUAGCGAACACCACAGACUAAAACUUGCUCAUCGACAGCGAUCUCGAACAGAAGUUCUGAGUUUUGAUGGCAAUAUUCUAAGAUCAUAUGCUCUGACUCCUGUUUACGAGGCUGCCACCAGGCCAAUUGAGGAAUCUCCCUCAGUAACUACUGCUAAGGUUGAAAAAGAUGAUGCUGAGAAUAAAGAGGAGAUAUAUCCUGGUGUAAGCCUUCUAUUUGAUGGAUCUGAGCUGCGCCCAUUCGAGAUAGGUGCUUGUUUGCAGGCUCGUCAACCUGUGUCUUUAAUUGCAGAAGCGUCUGCAACAUCUGCUAUUUUUUCAGUCCAAUAGUGUUCAGGGAUAUAGUCAAUGUUCAUGUAAGAAAGAACUGCUCUAGUGACCAAUUUCUGAGAGUAUCACUGGCUACCGGACGUGCUUUGCUGCUGCUGGUUUGUUGGGUAGAUUGUCUGUCCUUGCAUUUUAUUUGAUCGCAACAUGGGAAGUUAUUGAGGUGGUGUUUUCUAUUUGCAAGAAUUGAUCGAUGCAGGUAUUAUGCUGAGGAAUUCUAUUAUUUUGUAGAAGAGAAAACCAUGUGUAUUCAUAGAUGUAGCUAUGCUCACAAACUAG
This 906-nucleotide unclassified non-coding RNA is filed under the name Hevea brasiliensis (rubber tree). The record is from RNAcentral. Lineage: Eukaryota; Viridiplantae; Streptophyta; Magnoliopsida; Malpighiales; Euphorbiaceae.